RNAcentral lists this ribosomal RNA (253 nucleotides) under uncultured bacterium. RNAcentral describes it as "partial 16S ribosomal RNA". It matches the Rfam family "Bacterial small subunit ribosomal RNA", at positions 524 to 776 of the family's 1533-position model. The record is from RNAcentral.
UACGUAGGUGACCAGCUUUGUCCGGAUUUACUGGGCGUAAAGAGCGCGCAGGCGGUCGUUUAAGUCGAGUGUGAAAGCCCCCGGCUCAACUGGGGAGGGUCACUCGAUACUGAUCGACUUGAAGGCAGGAGAGGGAAGCGGAAUUCCCGGUGUAGUGGUGAAAUGCGUAGAUAUCGGGAGGAACACCAGUGGCGAAGGCGGCUUCCUGGCCUGUUCUUGACGCUGAGGCGCGAAAGCUAGGGGAGCAAACGGG